Molecule: ribosomal RNA, 401 nt
Filed under: uncultured bacterium
Lineage: Bacteria
Description: bacterial SSU rRNA
Rfam family: Bacterial small subunit ribosomal RNA
Source: RNAcentral
GAUGAACGCUAGCGGCAGGCUUAAUACAUGCAAGUCGCGGGGCAGCGCAGUGUAGCAAUACAUGGGCGGCGACCGGCAAACGGGUGCGGAACACGUACACAACCUUCCUUCAAAUGGGGAAUAGCCCAGGGAAACUUGGAUUAAUACCCCGUAACAUUAUGAAGUGGCAUCACUUUAUAAUUAUAGCUCCGGCGUUUGGAGAUGGGUGUGCGGCUGAUUAGGUAGUUGGCGGGGAACGGCCCACCAAGCCUUCGAUCAGUAACUGGUGUGAGAGCACGACCAGUCACACGGGCACUGAGACACGGGCCCGACUCCUACGGGAGGCAGCAGUAAGGAAUAUUGGGCAAUGGACGCAAGUCUGACCCAGCCAUGCCGCGUGGAGGAUGAAGGUCCUCUGGAUU